This 80-nucleotide transfer RNA is filed under the name Nocardioides psychrotolerans. Its description in RNAcentral is "tRNA-Ala". The record is from RNAcentral. Lineage: Bacteria; Bacillati; Actinomycetota; Actinomycetes; Propionibacteriales; Nocardioidaceae.
CGGCGGCCGGCCUGGGCUACGCAGGCUCCGCACUCGCGGUGCGCGGCGUCGGGCUGCCGUUCGAGGCGGCUGUCGUCGUC